CCUACGGGUGGCAGCAGUGGGGGAUAUUGCACAAUGGGGGAAACCCUGAUGCAGCGACGCCGCGUGGGCGAAGAAGUAUUUCUGUAUGUUAAGCCCUAUUUGUAGGGAAGACGAAUUUACGGUACCUGCGCCCUCAGCACUGGCCAAAUAAGUGCCAUCAGCCACCGGCAUACGUAUGGUGCAAGCGUUCUCCGGAUUUACUGGGUGGACAGGGAGCGUAGGUGGAACGGUAAGCCUGUUGGGAAAGGCGGGGGCCCAACCGAGGGACGGCAGUGGAAACGGCCAGGCUGGAGUGCAGGAGAGGUAGGCGGAAUUCCUAGUGUAGCGGUGAAAUGCGUAGAUAUUAGGAGGAACACCAGUGGCGAAGGCGGCCUACUGGACGGUGACUGACGCUGAGGCUCGAAAGCGUGGGGAGCAAACAGGAUUAGAUACCCGGGUAGUC
RNAcentral lists this ribosomal RNA (442 nucleotides) under uncultured bacterium. RNAcentral describes it as "partial 16S ribosomal RNA". It matches the Rfam family "Bacterial small subunit ribosomal RNA", at positions 338 to 795 of the family's 1533-position model. The record is from RNAcentral.